Molecule: ribosomal RNA, 871 nt
Filed under: uncultured bacterium
Lineage: Bacteria
Description: bacterial SSU rRNA
Rfam family: Bacterial small subunit ribosomal RNA
Source: RNAcentral
AGAGUUUGAUCCUGGCUCAGAUUGAACGCUGGCGGCAUGCUUUACACAUGCAAGUCGAACGGCAGCACGGGUGCUUGCACCUGGUGGCGAGUGGCGAACGGGUGAGUAAUGCACCGGAACGUACCCAGUAAUGGGGGAUAACGCACCGAAAGGUGUGCUAAUACCGCAAACGCCCUGAGGGGGAAAGCGGGGGAUCGAAAGACCUCGCGUUAUUGGAGCGGCCGAUGCCGGAUUAGCUAGUUGGUGGGGUAAAGGCCUACCAAGGCGACGAUCCGUAGCUGGUCUGAGAGGACGACCAGCCACACUGGGACUGAGACACGGCCCACACUCCUACGGGAGGCAGCAGUGGGGAAUUUUGGACAAUGGGCGCAAGCCUGAUCCAGCCAUGCCGCGUGAGUGAAGAAGGCCUUCGGGUUGUAAAGCUCUUUCGCAAGGAAAGAAAACUUAGCCACUAAUACUGGCUGAGGAUGACGGUACCUUGAUAAGAAGCACCGGCUAACUACGUGCCAGCAGCCGCGGUAAUACGUAGGGUGCGAGCGUUAGUCGGAAUUACUGGGCGUAAAGCGUGCGCAGGCGGUUUCGUAAGUCAGAUGUGAAAUCCCCGGGCUCAACCUGGGAACUGCGUUUGGAACUGCGAGGCUAGAGUGUAGAAGAGGGGGGUAGAAUUCCACGUGUAGCAGUGAAAUGCGUAGAGAUGUGGAGGAAUACCGAUGGCGAAGGCAGCCCCCUGGGCUAACACUGACGCUCAUGCACGAAAGCGUGGGGAGCAAACAGGAUUACAUACCCUGGUAGUCCACGCCCUAAACGAUGUCUACUAGUUGUUGGUGGAGUAAAAUCCAUUAAUAACGCAACUAACGCGUGAAGUAGACCG